Molecule: ribosomal RNA, 399 nt
Filed under: Triticum aestivum (bread wheat)
Lineage: Eukaryota; Viridiplantae; Streptophyta; Magnoliopsida; Poales; Poaceae
Description: partial small subunit ribosomal RNA
Source: RNAcentral
AUGAAACCAAACAAAGCACCUGGUCCUAGUAAUAUUCCUAUUGAAUUCUUCCAACACUAUUGGGAGAUUGUUAAGGGUGAAGUGAUGCUUUUAUUUGAUUGGUUCCAUGAUAAUAAACUAGAUGUGCAACGAUUGAACUAUGGGAUUAUUACUCUGCUUCCUAAAGUUGUUGGCGCAAAUAAAAUACAACAAUUUCGCCCGAUAUGUUUACUUCGGUGCAUAUAUAAACUGAUUACCAAGGUGCUCACCAUUAGGAUGGAACCUUUUGUUGAUAUCAUGUUCAGUAGACACCAGAAUGCUUUUAUUAAAAAACGUGAUAUAAUGGACGAGAUUAUGUCCCUGCAUGAAAUCCUCCAUCAUACUUAUGCUAGAAAAAAACUGGCAUUGUUCUUAAAUUAG